GUAGGGUGCGAGCGUUAAUCGGAAUUACUGGGCGUAAAGCGUGCGCAGGCGGUUCGUUAAGUCUGAUGUGAAAGCCCCGGGCUCAACCUGGGAAUGGCAUUGGAAACUGGCGAGCUGGAGUGCGGCAGAGGGGGGUGGAAUUCCGCGUGUAGCAGUGAAAUGCGUAGAGAUGCGGAGGAACACCGAUGGCGAAGGCAGCCCCCUGGGCCGACACUGACGCUCAGGCACGAAAGCGUGGGGAGCAAACAGGAUUAGAUACCCUGGUAGUCCACGCCCUAAACGAUGUCGACUGGGUGUUGGGAGAGAGAUCUCUUGGUACCGUAGCUAACGCGUGAAGUCGACCGCCUGGGGAGUACGGCCGCAAGGUUA
RNAcentral lists this ribosomal RNA (369 nucleotides) under uncultured bacterium. Its description in RNAcentral is "bacterial SSU rRNA". It matches the Rfam family "Bacterial small subunit ribosomal RNA", at positions 527 to 896 of the family's 1533-position model. The record is from RNAcentral.